RNAcentral lists this long non-coding RNA (303 nucleotides) under Bos taurus (domestic cattle). RNAcentral's name for it is "long non-coding RNA NONBTAT010887". Lineage: Eukaryota; Metazoa; Chordata; Mammalia; Artiodactyla; Bovidae. The record is from RNAcentral.
UGAAAAGUGAGGAACUGGCUGACUGACUACAAAUCAUGAGAUUUUGUUCUAUAUUUUCACUUAGUGUAACACAGACACCCAUUAUUCGGAUAGAGAUAAAACACUAUGAAACUAGUUCCCAAGUUGAUACAUUUAUAUCAGCUAUAGAAUGCUGAUUUCUUACCAAUAAUUUGCACUCUAUUACCUAUAUAGAUUGAAGGAAUAUUCAGUAUUCAGUACUUAUUUUACCUCUAUCACAUUUUACGCUAGCAUCCUAAAGAUUUUUUUUCUUAUUCAGUUGUUUUCUAAAGUCAAUUUUUACAU